Molecule: transfer RNA, 73 nt
Filed under: Papilio xuthus (Asian swallowtail)
Lineage: Eukaryota; Metazoa; Arthropoda; Insecta; Lepidoptera; Papilionidae
Rfam family: tRNA
About the family: Transfer RNA (tRNA) molecules are approximately 80 nucleotides in length. Their secondary structure includes four short double-helical elements and three loops (D, anti-codon, and T loops). Further hydrogen bonds mediate the characteristic L-shaped molecular structure. tRNAs have two regions of fundamental functional importance: the anti-codon, which is responsible for specific mRNA codon recognition, and the 3' end, to which the tRNAs corresponding amino acid is attached (by aminoacyl-tRNA synthetases). tRNAs cope with the degeneracy of the genetic code in two manners: having more than one tRNA (with a specific anti-codon) for a particular amino acid; and 'wobble' base-pairing, i.e. permitting non-standard base-pairing at the 3rd anti-codon position.
Source: Rfam by way of RNAcentral
GUGUGAGUGGCUCAGGGAUUAAAGCACUUGACUUGCAAUCUACAGGUCCUGGGUUCGAAUCCCGCCAUGUACC